AUUGAACGCUGGCGGCAGGCCUAACACAUGCAAGUCGAGCGGAUGAAGGGAGCUUGCUCCUGGAUUCAGCGGCGGACGGGUGAGUAAUGCCUAGGAAUCUGCCUGGUAGUGGGGGAUAACGUCCGGAAACGGGCGCUAAUACCGCAUACGUCCUGAGGGAGAAAGUGGGGGAUCUUCGGACCUCACGCUAUCAGAUGAGCCUAGGUCGGAUUAGCUAGUUGGUGGGGUAAAGGCCUACCAAGGCGACGAUCCGUAACUGGUCUGAGAGGAUGAUCAGUCACACUGGAACUGAGACACGGUCCAGACUACUACGGGAGGCAGCAGUAGGGAAUAUUGGACAAUGGGCGAAAGCCUGAUCCAGACAUGCCGCGUGUGUGAAGAAGGUCUUCGGAUUGUAAAGCACUUUAAGUUGGGAGGAAGGGCAGUAAGUUAAUACCUUGCUGUUUUGACGUUACAAACAGAAUAAGCACCGGCUAACUUCGUG
RNAcentral lists this ribosomal RNA (484 nucleotides) under uncultured bacterium. RNAcentral's name for it is "partial 16S ribosomal RNA". It matches the Rfam family "Bacterial small subunit ribosomal RNA", at positions 30 to 507 of the family's 1533-position model. The record is from RNAcentral.